AAUGAGGCCGAUGCAUUGUAGGGAAGCCAGACCUGCACCAAAAUGUUGGGGCAUUAAAGUAAGAACCUUAAAUGGGUGCCUAUAAUGGACUUAUUAUUAUAUCAGAAGCAGAUACAUCAGAGAGCACUCUUAAGGCAGUUCCAGCCACACCGGCCUCCUUGCGAUUCCUAGAACACGCCAAGCAUAAACGCAACUUAGGCCUUUGCCCUAGCUUCUCUCUGUGCCUGAAAUAGUCAAUUCACCUGCUAUCUUCUUGGCUGGCUCCAUACCUUUUGAGUCUUCUCUCAAAUCUCAGCUUGUCAAUGAGGCUCACCCUGGCCAACCUGUUUAAUAAGGCAGGCCUGCCCUUCAUUGUGGCCCUUGACUAUUCCAGAAUUACUAACAGUUACAAAAAACACAAACAUUUAAAACAAGUCUCAUUAGCUCUCACUGGCCAGGCUUGGGAUCCACGCCCAUCCCUGGGACCAAGAAAGAAGGCAAUUCAACUCAAACCACAUGGAUGGAGAAUGGGAAAGCGGUUUUCCAAGGAAGAUUUGUGUGUAUUCACUAAAAGAAGAGAGAGUGAAUGCUAGAAAGAGAAAAAUUGCAAUUGUCUGCUACAACACAUAAUAAGAAAAAAAAUUUGACUUGUAAUACAAGAUAUGUCUUCAUUGGCAAUUUGAAAACAGAUUUUAAUUGAAAGAAGAGAAAAAGCUGAGCAUCUGAUUAAACUACUUUCUUAAAAUUGUGUAGUCAUGGCUUUUGUGCUCUCAUUUUUGAGGCUAUUAGCCAAAUGAAUACAAUUUUCUGUGUAGCAUCACCCCCAAAAUCAUGUAUUAAACGAAAUACAUCAAAUGUCAUUUAUAUACUAAUUUAUUAGUUUACUUCCUUUUUAAGCUUUAUUGAGGUAGAAUUGACAAAUAAAAUUGUAAUAUAUUUAAAGUGUACAUAG
RNAcentral lists this long non-coding RNA (931 nucleotides) under Equus caballus (horse). Its description in RNAcentral is "lncRNA (ENSECAG00000059669.1)". The record is from RNAcentral. Lineage: Eukaryota; Metazoa; Chordata; Mammalia; Perissodactyla; Equidae.